AGGGUAUCACAGAAGGUGUUUGAGAUAUCAUUUUCUUUUCCCAAUGGUUCACAAUAUGUUUGUGAGCAAUCAUACUAUUUUCUUAGAAAUAGUGGAAGGAUGAACUCAAAGAGAAAAUUUUUAAAGAAGAACGAGUCACAAGACCUUACAACUAUGUAAGAUGAGCCAAUAUAUAUAGCACUUCCUCCACCUCGUAGAUCUAGUAGGAUCUUCUAUCUUUUAGAAAGAUACUUGGUAUUCUUAUAAAGGAUUUAGAGAAAGUAUUUUCGAGGG
Molecule: long non-coding RNA, 273 nt
Filed under: Elaeis guineensis (African oil palm)
Lineage: Eukaryota; Viridiplantae; Streptophyta; Magnoliopsida; Arecales; Arecaceae
Description: long non-coding RNA (EGUI_LNC067686)
Source: RNAcentral